This 468-nucleotide long non-coding RNA is filed under the name Salmo salar (Atlantic salmon). RNAcentral describes it as "lncRNA (ENSSSAG00000088024.1)". The record is from RNAcentral. Lineage: Eukaryota; Metazoa; Chordata; Actinopteri; Salmoniformes; Salmonidae.
AGUACCAGUACUGAGUCGAUGUACAGGGGUAUGAGGUAAUAACAAGGCUAUAUACAGUACCAGUACUGAGUCGAUGUACAACGAGGUAAUGAGGUAAUAACAUGGCUAUAAGGCCCAGUACUGAGUCGAUGUGCAGGGGUACGAGGUAACAACAAGGCUAUAUACAGUACAUAUAGGUAGGGGUAAAGUGACUAGGCAACAGGAUAGAUAAUAGUGUGUGUGUGUGACAAUUUUUUGGGCCCUUCCUCUGACCCCUGCUGGUGUAGAGGUCCUGGAAGGCAGGGAUCUUGGCACAGUGAUGUACUGUGCCAUUGUCAGAUGCCAAGCAGUUGCCAUACCAAGUGGUGAUGCAGCCAGUCAAGAUGCCCUCAAUGGUGGAGCUGUAGAACACACUGAGGAUCUGAGGGCCAAGUCUUUUCAGUCCACUGAUUCUCUCUGCUGUCGUGUACACUACAGGAACACUAUAGA